CCUCCCUCCCUACAGACGCCUGUGCCCCCCAGUGCCCUGAGAAUGACGUCCAAGCCCCCAGUGGAGAUGUCAAGGCUGUUCGGUCUGUCCCUCCCCAUCCUGUUCUGCUGCCUGGUCUUCCAAACUUGAACCCCAGGCGACUCCUUCAAGCAUCAGACCUCUGCCCCUGCACCCCUCCCACCUCUCUGUGAUGGGCUGGCCCCUCCCUUCUGCUGCCUCCCCUCCCUCCUUCCUGCUCCCACCCCUGUCUCUCCCUGGUGCUGCCCCUUAGAGAAGCCUCUUGGACCUUUAGCCUGGUCACUCCUCUGAGCCCCUCGUCUCCAGGUGUGGUCUAAGAAGUGCUUUCAGCCCCUCUACUCCAGUGGCUCGGGGGCUCUGACCAGCCCUCCUGCCCAGGAAGCUUUGAGCUUUCCCACAGGGACCCCUAGAGACAAGGGCACUGCUGUCCAGAUGGCACCCUCACCCCAACCCCAGCAGCACUGGCUGGAGCAGGCCAGGCCUGUGUGGGUAUCUGAACAGGCACUGAAUUCCGUGAUCUCAACAAAAGAAGCCCAUGGAGGCCUUUUCUAAUCCGCAGCCCAAGACAACAGGCCUGGGGGGCUGUGGGCUGACUCCCACGCCUUAGGACCAGGGGCUCUGGGGCUGUUGGGGCUGGAACCCCGAAUCCCGAACCCCGCCUCCCAGCAUAAUGAACACCAGCUCAUUGUUCACAGUGAAUACCCAGCAAAACCCUGCUCAGGCAAGGAGCCCGCCCCCCGCACCUGCUGCUCCAACAGACCAGGCUGGCUGCUGGCUCCCAGCUCAUUAAAUCAGCAACCCUUGCACUCCCUCCAAAGCCCUGGUGGGGGAAGGGGAUUCUUCCACUCUGAUGACACCCGUUGCCUUCUCCCUUCACUCCUGUGAGCUGGCCAGGCUGAGGACCGGUCCAAGGGGCCUGGGAAGUAAGACACUCCACGGCUUCUCAAAGGUCAGCCGACACGGACGGUAGCUUCGGUGAGUUAGCUUCCCGUGAUGUGUUGGAUGCAUGGGGAGCUGGUGACAACAGCCUGUGUGUGUGACAAUGUCAAGAACUACAUACAAAGACACAGCUGUCCCCCAAAAUGAGUCUGCACAGCCCGGUGCAAUGCGGCCGCAGCCUGUCAUCGAGUCAAUUGCAUUGUCAUCUGCCGCUCUCCUGAUGUAGGUUCUGUGUUUGUCCAUUUUGCACUGCUAUGAAGGAAUACCUGAGGCUGGGUAAGUUGGCAGGCGCCUGUAGUUGCAGCUACUUGGGAGGCUGAGGCAGGAGAAUGGCAUGAACCCGGGAGGUGGAGCUUGCAGUGAGCUGAGAUCGCACCACUGCAAUCCAGCCUG
RNAcentral lists this long non-coding RNA (1350 nucleotides) under Macaca fascicularis (crab-eating macaque). RNAcentral describes it as "lncRNA (ENSMFAG00000060069.1)". Lineage: Eukaryota; Metazoa; Chordata; Mammalia; Primates; Cercopithecidae. The record is from RNAcentral.